AAGGAUGGAAGCUACCGUACUCCCAAGCUAGAGUCUGCCGUUGUUGCUAGCUAGAAUUGCUUCCCGACCCCAAGCUCCUCGGGUCCCCGCACUUUGUUCUCCGGGAUCCGACUCACCCAAGUUGUAGAGCAGAAAGAGGCCCUGAAAGGCAGCCUGGCGGGGGUGCGGGGCCUUGCCCCGCGCGUAGCAGCGCCGCAGCGAACCGAAGCCUUCUUGCACUUGAGUCUGAAGCAGCACAGGGUCCGCCACUCCGCGCGUCUCUUCAGGCCGCAUCCGCGCCACCACGACCAGCAGCGUGGCCAGCGCGGGCUCCAGCACCGCCGCCGCUUCCGCGUCGUCCACGCCCUGCAGCGACAGAUCCAACCGCACCGCCCGCAGGCGGUCGGCCACGAAGCUCGCCACCUCCGCGCACGACACGUCGGUGCGGUCGGCCACCUCACCCGCCAAGUAGCGCACGGUGGCCAGGAGCACUGGGGGCGGCCG
RNAcentral lists this long non-coding RNA (483 nucleotides) under Rattus norvegicus (Norway rat). RNAcentral's name for it is "long non-coding RNA NONRATT001467". The record is from RNAcentral. Lineage: Eukaryota; Metazoa; Chordata; Mammalia; Rodentia; Muridae.